GGAUGUGAGGGUGAUCUGACUGCACCCCAUUGGUUGUUGGAUUGAUUUGGCUGAUCUGGCUGGUGAGGAGGGUGUCCCCUUCCUCUCUCAGUGCUCCAUGUGUGUCCCUUUAGAAGCUGUGUGAAGAGGAUGACUACUUGCAGUGGAGGAGGACUGUUAACACCUCAGGACUGCACGGAGGCACCAAAGCUAGAGAUUUUUUAACUGAAGGUUAUCCAAGGAAUGGCUACACCAUGUGGCCUUUCUCAUUCUUUCCUGCUUUUUAGAUGCAGAAAG
Cavia porcellus (domestic guinea pig) is the source of this 276-nucleotide non-coding RNA. It matches the Rfam family "7SK RNA". Rfam says of the family: 7SK was discovered as an abundant small nuclear RNA in the mid-70s but a possible function has only recently been suggested. Two independent studies have found that 7SK RNA binds the CDK9/cyclin T complex (known as elongation factor P-TEFb). The record is from Rfam. Lineage: Eukaryota; Metazoa; Chordata; Mammalia; Rodentia; Caviidae.